CCCCUUUUUUUCUUUCCAGCCAUCUUUUCUCCUCAGGCUCUAUGCAUCUUGAAUUUCUUUGAAAUUACAAAGUGGCUUCAAUUCUACAUCUAAAUAUUCCAGAAUUUAAGCUUAAGCAUAAGAGCACCUUUUUGAAGUUCUUUUUUUUUUUGAACUGGUAACUUUGCAUUCCUCGGCAUGCUGGUCACCUCCAAAAAUUUACACUUAAAGAGGAACCAAUUACAGUAAUCUUAUGAAGUCAACUAAUUGAACUUCCUCAAUACAUUGCUCUAGACCGG
RNAcentral lists this long non-coding RNA (278 nucleotides) under Solanum tuberosum (potato). RNAcentral describes it as "long non-coding RNA (STUB_LNC003128)". Lineage: Eukaryota; Viridiplantae; Streptophyta; Magnoliopsida; Solanales; Solanaceae. The record is from RNAcentral.